RNAcentral lists this ribosomal RNA (398 nucleotides) under uncultured bacterium. RNAcentral's name for it is "bacterial SSU rRNA". It matches the Rfam family "Bacterial small subunit ribosomal RNA", at positions 358 to 773 of the family's 1533-position model. The record is from RNAcentral.
GGAAUCUUGGACAAUGGGCGAAAGCCUGAUCCAGCGACGCCGCGUGACUGAUGAAGCCUUUCGGGGUGUAAAAGUCUUUCGGCAGGGACAAUAAUGAUGGUACCUGCAGAAGCAGCUGCGGCUAACUACGUGCCAGCAGCCGCGGUAAUACGUAGGCAGCUAGCGUUGUUCGGAAUUACGGGGCGUAAAGAGAGUGUAGGCGGUUUGCCAAGUCCGUUGUGAAAUCUCCCGGCUCAACUGGGAGGGUGCGGCGGAAACUGGCAGGCUAGAGUACGGAAUGGGAGAGUGGAAUUCCUGGUGUAGCGGUGAAAUGCGUAGAUAUCUGGAGGAACACCGGUGGCGAAGGCGGCAUUCUGGACCGAAACUGACGCUGAGGCGCGAAAGCCAGGGGAGCAAAC